CAGAGAUUCAUGUGAUGUUGGCAGGAUGGAAUUUGAAGUGAAGAGGAUGCUGUGAGCCAAAGGGUUUCGUCCUCUUCAGGGCAGAGGUGUGUUGGUGGGUGGAUAUUGUUGCUUUGCUUAAUGAAGAUCAGUUUCUACUCUUUUGGUAGCGGCACCCAGAUUUUCCUUGGAGAACUGCCCCUCCCUCUCUGUCAAGGUAACUUAAGUGCAACUGACCUCCCUCCUGAGUCCAGGAAAGGCAUGUGACCCAUGCCUGUCCAAUCAAAGCAUUCACACACACCCCAGCCAAUUGGUUGGUUCAGAGAUGGGGGCGUGUAACACAAAUUAGACCAAUCCGAGCCAAUGAAACUCAUUCUGGGUUUUUAUUGACUGCUGAAGGUGAGGCAUGAUCUUUCCACUGGGAAUGCUGAUAUGAUGAAAUGUAAGCAGCUGUCAUCCUUUUUCUUUUCAUGUAAAUAACCCGAUUGAAGUUUAAUCUGCAUACUCUAUACACUUUUAAGUAUACAAGUCAAUGUUUUUAGUAACUUUACUGAGUUGUGCAACCGUCACUGUAACUCUGGUUUUAAGACACUUUUUUGGGGGGGCAGCACUCCUGGCAUGCAGGAAUUCCCAGGCUAGGGUCAAACCCAAGUCACAGCAGUGAGUGGCAACACUGAGUCCUUAAUGGCUAAAACACCAGGGAGCUCCUUGAGACACUUUCAUCACCCCAUAAGAUCCUCCUACCCCUUUGAGGUUAAUCCAGAAUCCCUCCCCUCAGCCCCAGGCCAUGGCUAAUCUAUUUGUCUCUGCUUAAGGCUUCCAGUGUUAUUGUCGCAUGGAAAGGAGGUCCUGUCUGGGAUGAGCAAGAUGGGAAAUUGAGGCUGAGAACUGAGUCCUGUGAAGUUAUUUGAGCACCUGGAUUGAACCAUCGCUGAGUCUUUGUUCCUGGAAUUUCCAUUUAUUAGAGGCAAUACAGGACUCUUACCUGUAAAAGUUGGGGGAGGGGGGAUGUGUGUGCACACACACAUUUGUGAACUAGUUUGUUGUUUUCUGUCUCAUGUAACUGGAAUUAUCUUGACAUCCAUAUCCGGAUUAUACAUUUAACUCCAGGAGACAGAGACAAAAACACAGAGGAGAGAGAUCUCAAGAUGAAAUGAAUAAGGGUUAGGUUUUCUGGUGACAAAAAGCUGGUUAUCACAUAUAAAGUCAUCAUUCCCAGCUAAGUUGGUGAUGUGUUAACUGCUCCUUUGGGCAAUAGAUAUUUGCAUGCCUGCGUAUUAAUUUUUUAUAUCACGACCUGUUCAAAAAGGAAGACUUCCAGAGAUGCUGACAAGACAGGAAGAUUAAGUACAUUUAAGAUAAAGACAAAUGAAGCAAAGGGGAAAUGUGGGCUGGGAAGGAAACUGAAACUAAAAGCUUAGUAAACAAAAGGCUUAUAACAUGUGGACUUAGGCACAAUUACCAAAGACAGAUGAUGGCUGAACUCCAGACUUGAGAAUAACCAAAAUUAAGAAGGAAAUAGUCUUAGUUUCUAACCAUGAUGUUUAUGAGUUUUCAAAACCAACUAACUGCUGAAAAGUCUCUCUUUAGCUACUUCCCAGUGCAGUUUGCUAAAAGGCAUUUUAAAGGAUAUGACACCAUGCACAGGGAGCACAAGGCUGGAUUCAUGUUCAGAGACUAGGUGCUCUGUGCUAAGUACCAUCCACACAACACUAGCAAUAUUAGGUUAGUUAGGAAUGCUCUGGGCUGCAGGAUAUGUUAACAACAAGAACUCUGGAGAGAACGUGGGAAUUCCUGGGCUUGAGUGGUUCAGUGACUCAAAGAUGUCUUCAGAAAGCCAGGGUCUUUUGAUCUUUCUGCUUGGCUUCCCUCAGAUUUUUGGCUUCCUCCUUCUGGCUCAAAUAGUUAUUUCUGUCCCAUUAGACAUCACAUCCUCAGUCAAGAAAGGAAGAAGAAUAGGGUCAGUCGUCUCAUCGUUUCUUAUCAAGAAUGGAAAAGCCUUCCCCCUAAGUAGAUAUGCCCUUAAUUAUAAUUGACUGGAAUUGGAUCACCUCUCCCUUCAAGGUAGG
Molecule: long non-coding RNA, 2048 nt
Filed under: Sus scrofa (pig)
Lineage: Eukaryota; Metazoa; Chordata; Mammalia; Artiodactyla; Suidae
Description: lncRNA (ENSSSCG00015066655.1)
Source: RNAcentral